This 200-nucleotide unclassified non-coding RNA is filed under the name Halosphaeriaceae sp. RNAcentral describes it as "partial internal transcribed spacer 2". Lineage: Eukaryota; Fungi; Ascomycota; Sordariomycetes; Microascales; Halosphaeriaceae. The record is from RNAcentral.
UUAAGUUCAGCGGGUAUCCCUACCUGAUCCGAGGUCAAACUUGAAAAUGAAUAGGUGUUGCGGCAGCACUACGGCACGGCCCGAUGCGAGAAGUAACCACUACGCAGGGGGCAGCAUACACGUGUACGCCGAUAGAAUUAGGGGCUGCAGCGAGUGCUGCAUGCUCCAAAACCAGAACCUUUACCGCUGAGCGGCAAGGC